ACUUACGGCCAUACCACCCUGAAUACGCCCGAACUUGUCCGAUCUCGGAAGUUAAGCAGGGAUGGGCCUGAUGAAUACUUGGACAGGAGACUGCCUGAGAAUACCAGGUACUGUAAGCC
This is a ribosomal RNA of Scleropages formosus (Asian bonytongue), 119 nucleotides long. The record is from Ensembl. Lineage: Eukaryota; Metazoa; Chordata; Actinopteri; Osteoglossiformes; Osteoglossidae.